This 402-nucleotide ribosomal RNA is filed under the name uncultured bacterium. Its description in RNAcentral is "partial 16S ribosomal RNA". It matches the Rfam family "Bacterial small subunit ribosomal RNA", at positions 360 to 776 of the family's 1533-position model. The record is from RNAcentral.
AAUAUUGGGCAAUGGGGGAAACCCUGACCCAGCAACGCCGCGUGAGGGAAGAAGGUCUUCGGAUCGUAAACCUCUGUCCUUGGGGACGAAAAAAAUGACGGUACCCGAGGAGGAAGCCCCGGCUAACUACGUGCCAGCAGCCGCGGUAAUACGUAGGGGGCAAGCGUUGUCCGGAAUGAUUGGGCGUAAAGGGCGCGUAGGCGGCCUGUUAAGUCUGGAGUGAAAGUCCUGCUUUCAAGGUGGGAAUUGCUUUGGAAACUGGCGGGCUGGAGUGCAGGAGAGGUUAGCGGAAUUCCCGGUGUAGCGGUGAAAUGCGUAGAGAUCGGGAGGAACACCAGUGGCGAAGGCGGCUAACUGGACUGUAACUGACGCUGAGGCGCGAAAGUGUGGGGAGCAAACAGG